Molecule: ribosomal RNA, 467 nt
Filed under: uncultured bacterium
Lineage: Bacteria
Description: bacterial SSU rRNA
Rfam family: Bacterial small subunit ribosomal RNA
Source: RNAcentral
UAGGGAAUAUUGGGCAAUGGAGGGAACUCUGACCCAGCCAUGCCGCGUGCAGGAUGAAGGCGUUAUGCGUUGUAAACUGCUUUUUAUAUAGGAAGAAAUAGUCCUUGCGAGGAAAGUUGACGGUACUAUAUGAAUAAGCACCGACUAACUCCGUGCCAGCAGCCGCGGUAAUACGGAGGGUGCAAGCGUUGUCCGGAUUUAUUGGGUUUAAAGGGUGCGUAGGCGGUUUAUUAAGUCAGUGGUGAAAGACGGUCGCUCAACGAUUGCAGUGCCAUUGAUACUGGUAGACUUGAGUAUGAUUGAGGUAGCUGGAAUGGAUAGUGUAGCGGUGAAAUGCAUAGAUAUUAUCCAGAACACCAAUUGCGUAGGCAAGUUACUAAGUCAUAACUGACGCUGAGGCACGAAAGUGUGGGUAUCAAACAGGAUUAGAUACCCCAGUAGUCCCUGAGCGGGCUGGCAAGGCGCAU